Molecule: ribosomal RNA, 119 nt
Organism: Otolemur garnettii (small-eared galago)
Lineage: Eukaryota; Metazoa; Chordata; Mammalia; Primates; Galagidae
Source: Ensembl
AUCUCUGGCCAUACCACCCUGAACGCUCCCAGUCUUGUCUGUUCUUAGAAGGUAAGGAGGGUUGGGCCUGCUUAGUACUUGGAUAGGAGACAGCCUGAGAAUACUGGGUGCUGUAAGCU